GUGGUUUAUGGACGGGAUCCCCCCUCAUUCCGGGACUAUACGCCGGGCGAGAUUCGCAAUCAGGCGGUGGAACGGCAGAUCGUCGACCGCGAUCAGUUCUUACACGACAUCCGUGAGCGUCUCCUUCAGGCAGCACAACAGUACAAGCAUUACUAUGAUGAUAAGCAUCGGACCCUUUCUUUUGAUAUUGGAGAGUGGGUUUGGCUCCGUCUUCAGCAUCGGCCGGCGGCAUUCCUUGGAGUAGGCGCCAAAGGGAAAUUGGCUCCCAAAUAUUAUGGGCCUUUCAAAGUCCUCGCUAAAAUCGAUACAGUUGAUUACCGUUUGGAGCUGCCCCCACGCGCCCGCAUUCACAAUGUUUUCCAUGUCGGGGUCCUGAAGAAGUACCAUGGUCCACCGCCGGAAGUUCCGCCGAUGCUUCCACCUCUGUUUCAGGGUCGAGUACAUCCAACCCCUGUCCAAGCAUUGCGUGCUCGUAUUGCCCGCGGUAUCCAGCAGGUGCUCAUUCACUGGGAGGGCCAGCCGGCGUCUGCUGCUUCAUGGGAGGAUGUU
This 549-nucleotide ribosomal RNA is filed under the name Triticum aestivum (bread wheat). Its description in RNAcentral is "partial small subunit ribosomal RNA". Lineage: Eukaryota; Viridiplantae; Streptophyta; Magnoliopsida; Poales; Poaceae. The record is from RNAcentral.